RNAcentral lists this ribosomal RNA (168 nucleotides) under Lithocarpus havilandii. RNAcentral describes it as "5.8S ribosomal RNA". It matches the Rfam family "5.8S ribosomal RNA". Rfam says of the family: 5.8S ribosomal RNA (5.8S rRNA) is a component of the large subunit of the eukaryotic ribosome. It is transcribed by RNA polymerase I as part of the 45S precursor that also contains 18S and 28S rRNA. Functionally, it is thought that 5.8S rRNA may be involved in ribosome translocation. Lineage: Eukaryota; Viridiplantae; Streptophyta; Magnoliopsida; Fagales; Fagaceae. The record is from RNAcentral.
CUCUCGGCAACGGAUAUCUAGGCUCUCGCAUCGAUGAAGAACGUAGCGAAAUGCGAUACUUGGUGUGAAUUGCAGAAUCCCGCGAAUCAUCGAGUUUUUGAACGCAAGUUGCGCCCGAAGCCACUCGUGGCCAAGGGCACGUCUGCCUGGGCGUCACGCACCGUUGCC